UAAUUAUCCAUAUAACUAUGUAAUUGACAAUGUAAUUAGCAAUGUAACUAGCAAUGUAACUAUCUAUGUAACUAUGUAAUUGACAAUGUAAUUAUCUAUGUAACUAUCUAUCUAUGUAACUAUUCAUGAAACUUUCCAUGUAACUAUCCAUGUAACUAUAUAAUUGACAAUUAGGGACAGACGAUAAUGUAACGCUCUAUGGGCUGUAGCCCAAAGACUUUUUUCUGUUUUUUUUAAUAGAAUAGAUUGUAUUAUAUGAAAUAAAAAGGUUUAUGAAUUAACAGCCCAGAUAAAAAAUAAUUAAAAGUAGUCAAAAACCUAUUAUAUUAUAAGCUAAAUGAGAAUUGGAAUAUACACAAAUCCUAUUCUACAUGACACCUUCACCUUUUAUUUUAUUUAAAAAGAGUAAUAGGUCCAAUAAUAAGUCCAAGUCCCCAACUAUUGCAAAACAUAAGUCUUGUUCUUUUUUUCUUCGAUACUUUUUGUUCCAAAACAUUAACUUCUUCUUUGAGUUUUCUAGAAAAUAGUUUUCCCUCAAUUUUAUUCGAUUUUGAAAACAUGUUUGUGCUACCAAUAAAUAUUGGCAUUUUGUUAUUAUCUCUAGCUUGUUACAUCGAAUUUCAAAAUAUUAAAUUUUAGGCUUUUUCUAACUACUUAAGUUCAUGAAUUUGGGAUAUUGUGAAUUCGAUUAUUUUUUUUUUAAGUUAAUUUCAGUUUACUACCCUGAACUUUAGAUCUAAAAUCAGUUUGAUACCUCAUCUUUUUUUUUAAUCAGUUUCAUACCUAAACUUUCAAAAUGACAUCAAUCUCGACCAAAAUGACUAAAAUAGCCUUAGUUAAUCAU
RNAcentral lists this long non-coding RNA (844 nucleotides) under Fragaria vesca (wild strawberry). RNAcentral's name for it is "long non-coding RNA (FVES_LNC005072)". The record is from RNAcentral. Lineage: Eukaryota; Viridiplantae; Streptophyta; Magnoliopsida; Rosales; Rosaceae.